RNAcentral lists this unclassified non-coding RNA (372 nucleotides) under uncultured Flavobacteriales bacterium. RNAcentral describes it as "contains 16S-23S intergenic spacer region". The record is from RNAcentral. Lineage: Bacteria; Pseudomonadati; Bacteroidota; Flavobacteriia; Flavobacteriales.
UCACCGCUUGCGCGGGCAGUUUCUCUAGAGUCCCCGACAUUACUCGCUGGCAACUAAAGAUAGGGGUUGCGCUCGUUAUGGGACUUAACCCGACACCUCACGGCACGAGCUGACGACAACCAUGCAGCACCUUGUAAAUUGUCCGAAGAAGGACUGGUUUCCCAAUCUGUCAAUCUACAUUUAAGCCCAGGUAAGGUUCCUCGCGUAUCAUCGAAUUAAACCACAUGCUCCACCGCUUGUGCGGGCCCCCGUCAAUUCCUUUGAGUUUCAUUCUUGCGAACGUACUCCCCAGGUGGGUUACUUAUCACUUUCGCUUAGCCACUCAGUCUUACGACCAAACAGCUAGUAACCAUCGUUUACGGCGUAGACUAC